Molecule: ribosomal RNA, 823 nt
Filed under: Bacillus thuringiensis
Lineage: Bacteria; Bacillati; Bacillota; Bacilli; Caryophanales; Bacillaceae
Description: bacterial SSU rRNA
Rfam family: Bacterial small subunit ribosomal RNA
Source: RNAcentral
UCCGGAAUUAUUGGGCGUAAAGCGCGCGCAGGUGGUUUCUUAAGUCUGAUGUGAAAGCCCACGGCUCAACCGUGGAGGGUCAUUGGAAACUGGGAGACUUGAGUGCAGAAAGAGGAAAGUGGAAUUUCCAUGUGUAGCGGUGAAAUGCGUAGAGAUAUGGAGGAACACCAGUGGCGAAGGCGACUUUCUGGUCUGUAACUGACACUGAGGCGCGAAAGCGUGGGGAGCAAACAGGAUUAUAUACCCUGGUAGUCCACGCCGUAAACGAUGAGUGCUAAGUGUUAGAGGGUUUCCGCCCUUUAGUGCUGAAGUUAACGCAUUAAGCACUCCGCCUGGGGAGUACGGCCGCAAGGCUGAAACUCAAAGGAAUUGACGGGGGCCCGCACAAGCGGUGGAGCAUGUGGUUUAAUUCGAAGCAACGCGAAGAACCUUACCAGGUCUUGACAUCCUCUGAAAACCCUAGAGAUAGGGCUUCUCCUUCGGGAGCAGAGUGACAGGUGGUGCAUGGUUGUCGUCAGCUCGUGUCGUGAGAUGUUGGGUUAAGUCCCGCAACGAGCGCAACCCUUGAUCUUAGUUGCCAGCAUUCAGUUGGGCACUCUAAGGUGACUGCCGGUGACAAACCGGAGGAAGGUGGGGAUGACGUCAAAUCAUCAUGCCCCUUAUGACCUGGGCUACACACGUGCUACAAUGGACGGUACAAAGAGCUGCAAGACCGCGAGGUGGAGCUAAUCUCAUAAAACCGUUCUCAGUUCGGAUUGUAGGCUGCAACUCGCCUACAUGAAGCUGGAAUCGCUAGUAAUCGCGGAUCAGCAUGCCGCGGUGA